UGCAAGUCGAGCGGCAGCGCGGGGGCAACCCUGGCGGCGAGCGGCGAACGGGUGAGUAAUACAUCGGAACGUGUCCAGUAGCGGGGGAUAACCUGUCGAAAGAUAGGCUAAUACCGCAUACGACCUACGGGUGAAAGCGGGGGACCGCAAGGCCUCGCACUAUUGGAGCGGCCGAUGUCGGAUUAGCUAGUUGGCGGGGUAAAAGCCCACCAAGGCGACGAUCCGUAGCUGGUCUGAGAGGACGACCAGCCACACUGGAACUGAGACACGGUCCAGACUCCUACGGGAGGCAGCAGUGGGGAAUUUUGGACAAUGGGCGCAAGCCUGAUCCAGCCAUGCCGCGUGAGUGAAGAAGGCCUUCGGGUUGUAAAGCUCUUUCGGCGGGGACGAAACGGUCCGUGACAACACCACGGACUAAUGACGGUACUCGCAGAAGAAGCACCGGCUAACUACGUGCCAGCAGCCGCGGUAAUACGUAGGGUGCAGGCGUUAAUCGGAAUUACUGGGCGUAAAGCGUGCGCAGGCGGCUCCUUAAGUCAGAUGUGAAAUCCCCGGGCUUAACCUGGGAACUGCGUUUGAAACUGAGGGGCUUGAGUGUGGAAGAGGGGGGUGGAAUUCCAGGUGUAGCAGUGAAAUGCGUAGAGAUCUGGAGGAACACCGAUGGCGAAGGCAGCCCCCUGGGCUAACACUGACGCUCAUGCACGAAAGCGUGGGGAGCAAACAGGAUUAGAUACCCUGGUAGUCCACGCCCUAAACGAUGUCAACUGGUUGUCGGGGAAGUUAUUCCUUGGUAACGAAGCUAACGCGUGAAGUUGACCGCCUGGGGAGUACGGCCGCAAGGUUAAAACUCAAAGGAAUUGACGGGGACCCGCACAAGCGGUGGAUUAUGUGGAUUAAUUCGAUGCAACGCGAAAAACCUUACCUACCCUUGAC
RNAcentral lists this ribosomal RNA (933 nucleotides) under uncultured beta proteobacterium. Its description in RNAcentral is "bacterial SSU rRNA". It matches the Rfam family "Bacterial small subunit ribosomal RNA", at positions 56 to 985 of the family's 1533-position model. Lineage: Bacteria; Pseudomonadati; Pseudomonadota; Betaproteobacteria. The record is from RNAcentral.